This 69-nucleotide transfer RNA is filed under the name Encyrtus infelix. Its description in RNAcentral is "tRNA-Lys". Lineage: Eukaryota; Metazoa; Arthropoda; Insecta; Hymenoptera; Encyrtidae. The record is from RNAcentral.
CAUUUGGCAUCUAAAAUUAGAAUUGACCUUUUAAGUCAACUAUAGUAAAAUUAUGCGUACUUCAAAUGA